RNAcentral lists this long non-coding RNA (5816 nucleotides) under Capsicum annuum. RNAcentral's name for it is "long non-coding RNA (CANN_LNC011897)". The record is from RNAcentral. Lineage: Eukaryota; Viridiplantae; Streptophyta; Magnoliopsida; Solanales; Solanaceae.
CACUUUAUUUUCCACUUUCCCUUGACAUUGUCAUCUUCAAGAGUGCUCCCUGAUUGCUGCCAUUGGAACUCGAAGCUCCGUUCCCUUCUUCUUUGGGUGGUGUUCAAGCUAAAUCCAUGGUGGAUCUUAGUUGAAUUCUUAAUAUCAGCUUCACUCUUCUCAGGUGAGAAAUGUUGCAUUUGUAAGAUCUUCUUCUGUGUUUUCAAAAGUAAAAUCUUCCUCCCGUUUUUCGUCAGGUAGUCUUGGGUCUGCAAAAGACCAGCUUUCCAGAUGCUGGAACGUCUCCCUAUCCCUACCUUUUGGUGAUCUUCCAGGCAUACUGUUAAACCCUCCUUUCUAUGCUCUUUAAUUUCCUUUGUUGCUGCUGCUACCUGUUGCACUCUGUUAUAUUUGUACAUAUGCAUGCUACUUACUAUGUUGAUUAUUACUGAACUAUUGAUCCUUGUCAAUGUUUAGAAGCCACCUUGUUUUCACUGUUACCUGUUGGUAUGAGUGGUAUUCUUGCAUGUCUUGUGUCUCUAUUAUUGCAUUUGCCAAAGAGUCGGGCACUGAGUUGCCUUCUCUAAAUAUAUGAAAGUACAAUCCUAAUCUCCUCAAUGACACCAACCAGUUCCCAAGGAAUUUUCCAUUGCUUUAGAAUCAUGUGCUUAAGACUUAGAGAAUCUGUCUCUAUGAUGAACUUUGUAUAAAGUUUCUCAUGACAGUAUUCUAAGGCUUCCUUAAUAUCAGUGGAUUCAUCUUCUGUAUUUGUCCCAAGUCCUAAUCCCUUAGCUCUUGCAUAUACCAGAUCCCCUCUUUCAUUUCUUAUGAAAAAAUCAUAUGAGCUCAUCCCCGGAUUCCCUCUACAUGCUCCAUCUAUAUUGCAUUUUAGUUAUAAAUGCUCAGGCUUUUUCCAUACCACUUGAUGAUAAUGAAGUUGUGGUUUGUAUGUGCUCAUAGUGUCCACCACCUCUGGUCAUGUCCAGUUCUACAGUUUUAUCCAAGGAUAAAGAUUCUUGAUCAGUUUCUUUAUCACUUUUUGUAUCUGUAUUAUUAUCCCCUUAAAAGAAAUGAACCCUCCAUGUUUAAAAGAAUUUCUCCUUUUCCAUAAGAUCCACAUGAUUAUGGCUGGUAUGGCUUUACAGAUGCUGUUGAGUUUUAGUGUUGAUUCCUUUGUCCGCCAUGACACAACCAUAUGUUGAAGUUGUACAUUGUCCAUCCUGAUCCCUGCAAUGAACAAACUGCCUCCAUAGCUUUAAAGUUAUGGGAGCUGUUAGUAAAACAUGUGACAUAGUUUCCUCCUUUUUGUCCUCACAACACCAGUAUCUUGACACCAAAUGAAUCCUCAUUCUCCUCAAAUUAUCAUCUGUAGGGAUCCUUUUGAGCCACACUCUCUAUAAGAAGAAAUUAUAUUUAAAAGGUAGACCUUUAUUCCAAAUAUAAUCAAAAUCUCUUCUUUUCUCUUUUUUCUUCUGAAUUACCUCCCAGGAAGAUUUCAACGAAAAUUGGCCAUUUGUAUUUUCCAUCCACCAUGGUCUAUCAUUAUGAUGCCCUUCAACCUUAGGCUUUACUGUCUGAAGAAUUAGCUCCACCAUCUCUUUCGAUAAAGAUCUUCACCUCUAUUUCUUCAUUUUGAAAAGUCUCUCCUUCCACAUAAUAUAAAACACCCUAUUUGGUCCAAUUAUCAUACCAAAAACUUGAGUUCCCAACUGUAACCUGCCACCAAAUGAGAUGAUCAAACUCUUCUCUUAUAGCAAUCAUUUUCCUCCAAACAUGUAAUGCUCCAAUUUCUUUAGUCAGUAAAGGAUGAAAUUUUUUACAGUAUUUAUUCCUCAUAAAUGAACUCCACAUAGAAGAUGUGGAAGUUAUAAAAUUCCACCACAGUUUUGCAAAAAGUGUCUUGGACAUAUCAUGUAAAGAUCUAAAAUCCAAACCCCCCUCAUUUUUUGGAUAACACAUUAGAUCCCAAGACACCAAUGCUUAUUUUUUGAUCCAGUAGCAUUACCCCAAAAAAAAUUUGGCAAAUAUCUUGUGUAGUUGAUUAAUUACACUCACAGGAUGGUUCAUAGCGGAUAAAAUAUAUAUGGGCAUAGACUGCAACACAUGUGCAAUAAAAGUGUACCUUCCCCCAUAAGACAGAAGUCUAUUUUGUCAAGAAUUUAACCUCUUCAUCAACUCCUCAUAAUGUGUCUUAUUCUUUCUACCAUAGAAAAUAGGAGAACCCAAGUAAGUGAAAGGAAACUUACCUUGGUUUAUCUUAGUUAUUCUCUUUAUAUUGUUGGCCACAUUUAUUGGAGUCUUAUCAUGCAAAUAAAAGAAGCUUUUAUCAAGAUUAAUUAUUUGACCCGAGGUAAAUUCAUAUCUUCUCAAAACUAUCAUCAUUAUCUUUAUUGAUGCUGCAUGUCUAGAGCAAAAAAGAAUAGUGUCAUCUGCAUAUGAUAAAUGGUUAAUAUCAGGACUCCACUUAGGCAUUCCAUAUCCUCUAAAAUCUGGAUCCUCAAACAAGCCAUUUAGACUUUCUUGCUAACACUUCGGCUGAAAUAAUAAACAAGGUAGGUGAUAGAGGAUCCCCUUGCUUUAACCCUCUUGAGUACUGAAGAAACCUUAAGAGUGGCCAUUCAAAAGCAUUGAAUACCAAUUAUUACUAAUCAGUCUGACUACCAUGUCAAUUAUCCUUUCAGAAAACCAAAUUUUCUCAAUAUCUCCACCAAGCACUUCCAGGAAACUCUAUCAUAAGCCUUUGUCAUAUCCAACUUUACAAUCACUUGAGUAGUUUAUUCCUUCUAUUUAUAUCUCUAAUAAUCUCUUAAGAUAGCAAAACAUUUUCCAUUAUGCUUCUCCCCUUAACAAAAUCAGCCUGAUUACUAGAAAUAUUAUUAGGAAGCACCUCCAAAAUUCUCAUAUGAAUCAAUUUGGAUAUGAUUUUAUUAACAAAAGGGCUAAGACUGAUAGGUCUGAGAUCACCAAAAGUACUCACUACUUCUUUCUUCAGAAUCAGAACAAGAUUAGUGUGAGUGAUGUACCUUGGUAAAUCACUUUCACAAAAGAAUGCCUCAACUAUAUUUGUAAUAUCCCCGCCCCCGCCCCCCCACUAUAUUCCAGCAAGACUAAAAAAAAUAACCUGAAAAACCAUCUGGUCCCCUGCACUUUCCCCAUUUAAAGAAAAAACAACCUUCUUGACUUCCUCUAUGUCUGGUAAGCUUCCAUUCUAUUGUUUUGCUCCUCAGUAAUACUUUUGUUAAUACACCCUAGCAUCUCAUAAUUAUUAGGCACUUGGUUCUCUUUAAAUUGCUCCAUGAAGACCUGCACUGCCUCAUCCCCAAUGUUCUGUGGUGAUGUGAUAACAUCCCCCUAUCUUGUUUGGAUUUUUGUAACUUCCAGCCUUCUUCUUCUACCUUUCACAUAAGAAUGAAAGAAUUUAGUAUUUCUGUCUCCAUCAGUAAAUCACUUCAUCUCUGCCUUUUGUUUCCAAAACUCUUCCUCUAUUUUCCUCAAUCUUUUUAAAUCUUUCUCUGCUUUACUCAACUCCUCUCUAUUUUCUGCAGUUCGUUGUAUCUCAAACUGUGUUUCCUUUGCUUUUAUUACAUUUUCCAAAGUUGCUACUUUUUGGAAAAUAUCCCCAAAAGUCUCCCUACUCCAGACAACAAGUACUAAUUUCAUCAUUUUCAAUUUCUCAUGCACUAUUUGAAAAGGUGACCCUUGAAAAUUUUCACUCUAAUUUGUUGCACUAUUCCAUGAAAAUCUUUAUGCGUGGUCCACAAGUUCAAGAACCUAAAUGAUUUUUUGACAUGUACCUGUACAGUAUUUUAAUGACAUAAAGUGGUUCAUGAUCAGAACCUUUCCUGAUAAGAUGAUUCACUUCACAAUUAGGCAUAGCCUGGAAAAGUUCAUAAUUACCAAACACCCUGUCUAGCCUCUUAAAAAUGCAAUCCUCUUGAAUUCUUUCAUUCCACCAAGUGAAUCUGCUACCUAUAAAUCUUAAUUUGUUCAAUGCAUAAUUAUUCAUACAUUGAGCAAAAUCAAGAGUCUCCUGCUGAGAGACCUCCAAGUUUUUCAGAAUCAUCCAAAAUAACAUUAAAAUCACCCCCAACAAGCCAUGAAAUACUAGUAUUAGAGGCAACUUGCUCCAAAUCUUCCCACAGCUCUAAUCUCUCUAAGUGACUGCAUCUCGCAUACACUGCAAUUACUUUAAAGGAAUUAGUUGCUCCUCUAAGCUUAUACUCCAUUGUUAAAUAUUGUGUAGAAUUUGUGGUACCACUUUCUUCACAAUCAUCAUCCUAGAAGAUCCAAAUCUUAUCAGAAUAAUUUACUUUAGCAUGUUUAAGCCCUAGCCUUAUUCUGUAAUUCAACUCUGAUGGACUUUGAAAAGGUUCAAAUAAUACAAUGUAAGAAUAAUGGUGUUUCUUAUGAAGAUCAAUUAAUUUCUCAAAUGAACUUUGAGUUUUAACAGACCUAAUAUUCCAAAAUAUCACCUUAUUAAUCAUUAAUUACUAUUAGAUAUGAGACCCAACUUACUCCUUGUAUUGAUUUGUGAGUUGUUACCAGUUUUCUUGUAAUCUUUUCUGUUCUUACCUUUCAACUGACUAAUUUGUCUUGGAGAUAAAUCUUCAUCCCUACCUAUUUGGUCAAUGUUAGCAUCCAUAUCUGCAUCUUCUUCAUGAUCUUGUUUCUGUUGUUCUUCUUCUGUGUUAGACUAUAAAUUUUAGGAACCUCAGUUUCAAACUCUGCUAUGAUCUGCAAUUCAUUGUCUUCCACCUCUAUAUCAUGAUCUUUACAAUCCACAUCAGCAAUCUCUUUUGCAUCUUGAAUUCUAGUUGAAUCACCUAUCCCUUAUUUAACAUUGUCUUUUUCCUGAUCUCUAACCGAGCUUUGUGACUCUUCUUGUAUCUGUCCUUUUUCACCAUCCUCAUUGGUAGUGCGUUGUUCUACCUGAGUGUUAAGUUUUUUGUCAUUUUUUUGGUCAUUCUGGUCUAUUGAUAUCUCUGUCAUCAUCAACAUCUUUCUCCUUCAAAGCAUCAAAUUUACUAUUUACUGAAACAUCCACUUCUUUCUAAGUGUUUUCUUUCUGGUUUUAUCUUCUUUCUUGCCUCCUUCCAUUGUUCCAUCUUCUUUUCACUUAUUUUCUCUUUUGUUUAUGAAGUUCUUGUGUUUUUGUGUCAUUGCCUUUACUGUUGUCUGCCACAUUUUUCUUAUUCUUCUAUAACCCUUUUGUGAUUUCAUAGUAUCUUGUUCUUCCCCUUCCUCCUUGUCCUCCUUUGGAUAUAAUUCAGGACGAAUGACAAAAUAUUCGUUCUCAGUACGUCCUUGUAGUUUGCAUUCCUUACAUUACUUAGACACAUAAUCAUAUUUGAUAUGAAUCCACUUCUCUACAACUUCUCAUGUCUUUUUUUUCAUCCCAAUAUUAAUCCUUUUGGGAAAUUCUCCUAGCAGAUCAACUUCCACCUUCACUCCUGUACAACUUGAUCUAAUCUUGUUCUGUGUAGCUAGAUCUACCUGUAAAGGCUUCUCAACAGCAGCUGCCAGAGAGAAGACUGCUUUUCUUGCAAAAAAAAUCAGUGUAGAGAUGGAAAUGAUAUCCAUGCCACUACAGUAGUGGUUUCUUCCUCAGGGUUGAACAUUGGAUCCCAUUUUAAGGUUCGCAUCGGAUAUGACUAAUAAUUCUUUGUAAUAUAGAAUUAAGGUUUGGAUAAGAGGUGUACAUAAUCCUCAAUCUUCGUUACUCUUAUUAACACAUGUUGAUUACUCAAUAGAACAAUAUUGACUUCUUCCUCCAGCUCACGUUGCUUUGGGAUUAAGCGUCGUAGAUCUUGUAUAUCAGGCCAGCCAUAGGAGAAUUU